AUGCAAGUCGAGGGGCAGCAUGUUGGUUGCUUGCAACCAACGAUGGCGACCGGCGCACGGGUGAGUAACGCGUAUCCAACCUGCCCUUGUCCAUCGGAUAACCCGUCGAAAGGCGGCCUAACACGAUAUGCGGUUCUCAGCAGGCAUCUAACGAGAACGAAAUGUGAAGGAGAAGGAUGGGGAUGCGUCUGAUUAGCUUGUUGGCGGGGUAACGGCCCACCAAGGCGACGAUCAGUAGGGGUUCUGAGAGGAAGGUCCCCCACAUUGGAACUGAGACACGGUCCAAACUCCUACGGGAGGCAGCAGUGAGGAAUAUUGGUCAAUGGACGAGAGUCUGAACCAGCCAAGUAGCGUGCAGGAUGACGGCCCUAUGGGUUGUAAACUGCUUUUAUAGGGGGAUAAAGUGUGCCACGUGUGGCAUAUUGCAGGUACCCUAUGAAUAAGGACCGGCUAAUUCCGUGCCAGCAGCCGCGGUAAUACGGAAGGUCCAGGCGUUAUCCGGAUUUAUUGGGUUUAAAGGGAGCGUAGGCCGUUUGGUAAGCGUGUUGUGAAAUGUCGGGGCUCAACCUGGGCAUUGCAGCGCGAACUGUCAGACUUGAGUGCGCAGGAAGUAGGCGGAAUUCGUCGUGUAGCGGUGAAAUGCUUAGAUAUGACGAAGAACUCCGAUUGCGAAGGCAGCCUGCUGUAGCGCAACUGACGCUGAAGCUCGAAAGCGUGGGUAUCGAACAGGAUUAGAUACCCUGGUAGUCCACGCGGUAAACGAUGGAUGCUCGCUGUUUGCGUCUGACGUAAGCGGCCAAGCGAAAGCGUUAAGCAUCCCACCUGGGGAGUACGCCGGCA
RNAcentral lists this ribosomal RNA (840 nucleotides) under uncultured Bacteroidota bacterium. RNAcentral's name for it is "bacterial SSU rRNA". It matches the Rfam family "Bacterial small subunit ribosomal RNA", at positions 55 to 890 of the family's 1533-position model. Lineage: Bacteria; Pseudomonadati; Bacteroidota. The record is from RNAcentral.